UCCUCCCUCGCCACGCCCCUCCUCUCCGACUCCAUCACGCCCACCACCCCCACCCGCGCCGCCAACGGCCACGCGCGGGGCCACGACGGCGACGACGACCUCUGCGCCGCCGCCUCGGUGUGCGACGGCGGCGACCCGUUCGCGUUCCUCUCGGAGGACAGCCGCCCGCCGCGGCCGCCGGGCCCGUCCCCCGCCGACCCGUUCCGCAACAGGACGCCGUGGCUGGGCGGCCCGUACGGGUGGGCCAGGACGCUGCUGCUCGCGCCGGUCGCGGCGGCGCGGCUCGUGCUCUUCGGGCUGGCCAUCGCGAUCGGGUACGCAGCCACGUGGGUGGCGCUGCGCGGCUGGACCGACUCGCGGGAGCGCCCGCGGGAGGGCGCCGGCCCCAUGCCGGCCUGGCGCCGCCGGCUCAUGUGGGUCACCAGGCUCUCCGCGCGCUGCAUCCUCUUCUCCUUCGGGUAUCACUGGAUCACACGAAAAGGAAGGCCUGCGCCUAGAGAGCUUGCACCUAUAGUCGUUUCCAAUCAUGUAUCAUACAUAGAUCCCAUAUACUUCUUCUAUGAAUUGUUCCCAACCAUUGUUUCAUCGGAUUCCCAUGAUGCCAUACCAUUUGUUGGAACAAUCAUAAGAGCAAUGCAGGUUAUAUACGUUGAUAGAUUCUCGCCAGCUUCAAGGAAGUCAGCUGUGAAUGAAAUAAAGAGAAAGGCAGCUGGCAAUAGCUUUCCGCGUGUCCUGUUGUUCCCUGAAGGCACUACAACAAAUGGGAGAUUCCUGAUCUCAUUCCAACAUGGAGCAUUCAUACCUGGCUACCCUGUUCAACCAGUUGUUGUUCGUUACCCCCAUGUGCACUUUGACCAAUCCUGGGGAAACAUAUCACUAAUAGCACUCAUGUUCAAGAUGUUCACCCAGUUUCACAACUUCAUGGAGGUAGAGUACCUCCCUAUUGUCUACCCCCCUGAGAUCAAGCAAGAGAAUGCCCUUCAUUUUGCAGAGAAUACCAGCUAUGCUAUGGCACACGCCCUUAAUGUUUUACCGACUUCUUAUUCAUAUGCUGAUUCAAUGAUUGCGUCAAGAGCAGAAGAAGCUGGAAAGGCCAACUGCUCAAGUUAUAUGGUGGAAAUGGCUUGGGUAAAAGAAGUGUAUGGUGUAAGCACAGCAGAAGCAAUGGAACUCUUGGAGUACUUUUUGGCUAUGAAUCCAGACAGUGAUGGACGUGUUAAAGCACAAGAUUUUUGGGCUAUUUUUGGCCUAGAUUGCAGUCCUCUAUGCAAGAAGAUAUUUCACUACUUCGAUUUUGAAAAUAAGGAAUCCAUCACAUUCCGACAGUUCCUGGUCGGGUGUGCGCACCUCAGGAAGCAGCCAUUGUUUGAGGGAGUGUGCGAAACCGCCUUCGAGAAAUGCAAGGCCCCCGGGACCUCUGACAUAUCCCUUGCACAGCUAGCCGACGCCCUGCGGUCGGGCAUGCUUCCUCCAGCAGACGAUGGGAUGCUGAAGCUGUUCGAGACGUUUGACAUUGAUGACGACGACAAAAUCAGCAGGGAUGACUUUGUGGCAUGCCUUGCAAGGUUCCCUUUCAUGAUCGCCCUCUUCGCUGGCCGGAUCAACGGGGAGGUUUACAUCGAGAUAGUUUGA
RNAcentral lists this ribosomal RNA (1632 nucleotides) under Triticum aestivum (bread wheat). RNAcentral's name for it is "partial small subunit ribosomal RNA". The record is from RNAcentral. Lineage: Eukaryota; Viridiplantae; Streptophyta; Magnoliopsida; Poales; Poaceae.